CCUACGGGAGGCAGCAGUGGGGAAUAUUGGACAAUGGGCGGAAGCCUGAUCCAGCCAUGCCGCGUGUGUGAAGAAGGCCUUUUGGUUGUAAAGCACUUUAAGCGAGGAGGAGGCUACUAGUAUUAAUACUACUGGAUAGUGGACGUUACUCGCAGAAUAAGCACCGGCUAACUCUGUGCCAGCAGCCGCGGUAAUACAGAGGGUGCGAGCGUUAAUCGGAUUUACUGGGCGUAAAGCGUGCGUAGGCGGCUGAUUAAGUCGGAUGUGAAAUCCCUGAGCUUAACUUAGGAAUUGCAUUCGAUACUGGUCAGCUAGAGUAUGGGAGAGGAUGGUAGAAUUCCAGGUGUAGCGGUGAAAUGCGUAGAGAUCUGGAGGAAUACCGAUGGCGAAGGCAGCCAUCUGGCCCAAUACUGACGCUGAGGUACGAAAGCAUGGGGAGCAAACAGGAUUAGAUACCCUGGUAGUCCAUGCCGUAAACGAUGUCUACUAGCCGUUGGGGUCUUUGAGACUUUAGUGGCGCGNGCGUAACGUCGAGUUAAGUUAGUACCGCCGUUGGGGUAGGUUACGGUUCGGCGAGACGAAACGUUACGAAGGAAGUUAGACGGCGNGAGGACGNGCGACGGACGACGACGAGGGAGGUAGGNG
RNAcentral lists this ribosomal RNA (645 nucleotides) under uncultured bacterium. RNAcentral's name for it is "bacterial SSU rRNA". The stretch from base 1 to 551 matches the Rfam family "Bacterial small subunit ribosomal RNA", at positions 338 to 873 of the family's 1533-position model. The record is from RNAcentral.